AGAGGUGGCAAGCGUUGUUCGGAAUUACUGGGCGUAAAGGGCGCGUAGGCGGCCUACUAAGUCAGACGUGAAAUCCCCCGGCUUAACCUGGGAACUGCGUCUGAUACUGGAAGGCUUGAGUAUGGGAGAGGGAUGUAGAAUUCCAGGUGUAGCGGUGAAAUGCGUAGAUAUCUGGAGGAAUACCGGUGGCGAAGGCGGCAUCCUGGACCAUUACUGACGCUGAGGCGCGAAAGCUAGGGGAGCAAACGGGAUUAGAUACCCCGGUAGUCCUAGCCCUAAACGAUGAAUACUUGGUGUGGCGGGUAUCGAUCCCUGCCGUGCCGAAGCUAACGCAUUAAGUAUUCCGCCUGGGGAGUACGGUCGCAAGGCCG
RNAcentral lists this ribosomal RNA (371 nucleotides) under uncultured bacterium. RNAcentral describes it as "bacterial SSU rRNA". It matches the Rfam family "Bacterial small subunit ribosomal RNA", at positions 527 to 896 of the family's 1533-position model. The record is from RNAcentral.